This 603-nucleotide ribosomal RNA is filed under the name uncultured bacterium. RNAcentral's name for it is "bacterial SSU rRNA". It matches the Rfam family "Bacterial small subunit ribosomal RNA", at positions 89 to 725 of the family's 1533-position model. The record is from RNAcentral.
ACCCUAGUGGCGGACGGGUGAGUAACGCGUGGGAACCUGCCCUGGAGCGGGGAAUAAUCACUGGAAACGGUGGCUAAUACCGCAUACGCCCUCAGGGGGAAAGGCUUCGGCCACUCUAGGAUGGUCCCGCGUCCGAUUAGCUUGUUGGUGGGGUAACGGCCUACCAAGGCGACGAUCGGUAGCUGGUCUGAGAGGAUGAUCAGCCACACUGGGACUGAGACACGGCCCAGACUCCUACGGGAGGCAGCAGUGGGGAAUAUUGGACAAUGGGGGAAACCCUGAUCCAGCAAUGCCGCGUGAGUGAAAAAGGCCUUAGGGUUGUAAAACUCUUUCACCCGUGAAGAUGAUGACGGUAGCGGGAGAAGAAGCUCCGGCUAACUCCGUGCCAGCAGCCGCGGUAAUACGGAGGGGGCUAGCGUUGUUCGGAAUUACUGGGCGUAAAGCGCGCGUAGGCGGCUUAUCAAGUUAGGCGUGAAAGGCCUGGGCUCAACCCGGGAACUGCGCUUAAUACUGGUAGACUUGAGUCCGGGAGAGGGUGGCGGAAUUCCCAGUGUAGAGGUGAAAUUCGUAGAUAUUGGGAAGAACACCAGUGGCGAAGGCGGC